RNAcentral lists this ribosomal RNA (506 nucleotides) under uncultured bacterium. RNAcentral describes it as "partial 16S ribosomal RNA". It matches the Rfam family "Bacterial small subunit ribosomal RNA", at positions 28 to 523 of the family's 1533-position model. The record is from RNAcentral.
GAUGAACGCUAGCGGCAGGCCUAACACAUGCAAGUCGAGGGGUAACUAGAGUGAUAGCAAUAUUACUUUGGCUAGACCGGCGCACGGGUGCGUAACACGUAUGCAACCUACCUUAUACUGGGGAAUAACUUCGAGAAAUCGGCGCUAAUACCCCAUAACACUGCGGAGAGGCAUCUCUUUGCAGUUAAAGCUCCGGCGGUAUAAGAUGGGCAUGUGUCCAAUUAGCUAGUUGGUGAGGUAACGGCUCACCAAGGCUACGAUUGGUAGGGGUUCUGAGAGGAUGAUCCCCCACACUGGUACUGGGACACGGACCAGACUCCUACGGGAGGCAGCAGUGAGGAAUAUUGCGCAAUGGACGAAAGUCUGACGCAGCCAUGCCGCGUGCAGGAUGACGGCCCUAUGGGUUGUAAACUGCUUUUGUACGGGAAUAAACCCUUCUACGUGUAGGAGGCUGAAGGUACCGUAAGAAUAAGCACCGGCUAACUCCGCGCCAGCAGCCGCGGUAA